RNAcentral lists this ribosomal RNA (468 nucleotides) under uncultured bacterium. Its description in RNAcentral is "partial 16S ribosomal RNA". It matches the Rfam family "Bacterial small subunit ribosomal RNA", at positions 28 to 507 of the family's 1533-position model. The record is from RNAcentral.
GACGAACGCUGGCGGCGUGCUUAACACAUGCAAGUCGAACGGAAAGGCCCUGGCUUUGUGGGGUGCGCGAGUGGCGAACGGGUGAGUAACACGUGAGUAACCUGCCCUUGACUUUGGGAUAACUUCAGGAAACUGGGGCUAAUACCGGAUAGGAGCUCUUGCCGCAUGGUGGGGGUUGGAAAGGUUCGGUGGUUGGGGAUGGACUCGCGGCUUAUCAGCUUGUUGGUGGGGUAGUGGCUUACCAAGGCUUUGACGGGUAGCCGGCCUGAGAGGGUGACCGGACACAUUGGGACUGAGAUACGGCCCAGACUCCUACGGGAGGCAGCAGUGGGGAAUAUUGCACAAUGGGCGGAAGCCUGAUGCAGCAACGCCGCGUGCGGGAUGACGGCCUUCGGGUUGUAAACCGCUUUUGCCUGUGACGAAGCGUGAGUGACGGUAAUGGGUAAAGAAGCACCGGCUAACUACGUG